Molecule: ribosomal RNA, 256 nt
Filed under: uncultured bacterium
Lineage: Bacteria
Description: partial 16S ribosomal RNA
Rfam family: Bacterial small subunit ribosomal RNA
Source: RNAcentral
AGAGUUUGAUCAUGGCUCAGAAUGAACGCUAGCGGCGUGCCUUAACACAUGCAAGUCGUACGAGAACUCUUUAGCUUGCUAAAGAUAGUAAAGCGGCGCACGGGUGAGUAACGCGUGGGUAAUCUACCUCUGAAUUUGGGAUAACUCCGCGAAAGCGGGGCUAAUACCGGAUAAUAUUUCAGGAUUUUCGGGUCUUGAAAUCAAAACCGGCCUCCACAUGUAAGCUACUGUUUGGAUAUGAGCCCGCGUACCAUUA